This is a non-coding RNA of Chelonoidis abingdonii (Abingdon island giant tortoise), 111 nucleotides long. NCBI's taxonomy places the organism in Eukaryota, Metazoa, Chordata, Testudines, Testudinidae. The record is from RefSeq and is a predicted model, not a curated record.
CAGCGACAGGUUCUCCAGUGUCGUCGAAGACCUGGAGCGAGUGAAGGACCCGCCUCCGAAGACUAGGAGUGCCGCCUGAUGAGUACAAGCCCCACAAGUCUCAGGGGCGGG